Molecule: long non-coding RNA, 2425 nt
Organism: Physeter macrocephalus (sperm whale)
Lineage: Eukaryota; Metazoa; Chordata; Mammalia; Artiodactyla; Physeteridae
Exons: 9
Source: RefSeq, a predicted model, not a curated record
GGGAGGGGCUGGCGCUUGGCGCUGCAUGAGGCCCUCCGACGGGGCAAGCCCCCUCCCCCGGUCCCUCCCAAGGCUCUCCCUUACCCUCCGGGGUUUUCCUACAUUUGGGGCGAGGAAAAGUAGGGAUGCGGAAUACAGCUGCCAGCUGGUGUAGGCGAAGGUUUUGGUCAUAUGCGAGGAUACCCCCCUUAACACCCCGCCCCCCCAUCCACCUACGCGCGCGUGCUCUCCCGGCGCUGAUGAUGUCCUGCCCGCUCCGCUGCUUUGGCUCGGCUCGUGACUCUGCUUCGUGCUGGCAAAAUUCCGCAGCGUGCACUUGGGGGCGGGGGUGGGAAGUUGGCUCUCAGCCUUGCCCCUUGAGCUUGCCACCCUCGGGCCUGCCCAACUGCCAGGCACCCCACUUACCUCCCCUCACCCCCCCUCCAAUAACUGUGGCUUCCCACGCCAGGUCAUUGCCAGGCCCAGCCCCCGUGUCACCGUCCACCCUAUGGGACACUCUUGUGUCUCCAUCCUGCACCUGGUUGCCCUCGAUGGCAUUGAAAUCUCCCAUCUUUUCCUGUGGGCCCCACAGCCCCACCUCCGGAGUCCAUAUGGGUGCGGGCAGCAGAGGGGGAGUAGGGUGGCACACAGACUGUUCACACGGCCCCUUUGGUGUACACCCUCUUGGAACAGGGCAGUGGAAAAACAAACAGGAACUCCGCAGGAGGAGAUGAUCCUAAACACCAGCUGAUUUCCACUCUUUGUUGAUCACCCAAGCACGUGUCCCCCCCCCCGCCCCCCUCCAGCCCCGGAAGUAAAUAUUGUGGUUUGGUUCCAUUCAGCACCCCAGAAGACGCAUUCGCUGCCCCUGCUAACUGGGCAGCAAGGCCUAGCCCGGAUUUCUCUCCUCUGGGUUGCAGUGCCUCUGACGCAGGGUCUGAGAGGUCUCCUGCGGUUUUGCUGCAUGCUCUCUUCAUUCUGGAACCAAAGUAUUAAAAGAGGGACCUGUUGGACUUCCGCAGUGGCGCAGUGGAUAAGAAUUCGCCUGCCAAUGCAGGGGACACAGGUUCAAUCCCUGAUCCUGGAAGAUCCCACAUGCCGGGGAGCAACUAAGCCCAUGAGCCACAACUACUGAAGCCUGUGUGCCUAGAGCCCGUGCUCCACAGCAAGAGAAGCCACCACAAUGAGAAGCCGGCGCACCACACGAAGAGUAGCCCCCGCUAGCCACAACCAGAGAAAGUCCACGCACAGCAACGAAGGCCCAAGGCAGCCAAAAAUAAAUAAAAUUUUGUUUAAAAAAGAGGGACCUGUUGACCAAGAUGCCUAGGUGGCAAACACACCGUCAGAUGCUGCUAAAGCAAGAAUAAAUGCGUGUUAUUGAUUUCCAGAAUGAUUAGGCUCUGCUUUCUCCUUGGCGGGCUCCUUUCUCAGGCUCCUUCAGUCUGGUUGUAAGAUGGCUCCAGAACUUCCAAUCUUGCACCUACCUGGAUUCAAGUCCAUUGGGAAAGAAUGUCUGUGCUUCUCCCAGCAUUCCUGGCACAGGUCUCUCCUGAACCAAUCGUGGUUUGGGGAUUGUGAUGCUCCAUUGAUAAAGGCCAAAGGCGCAUAUAUUUUGGGUGAGUUUCACCCCCACUCAAAGCACAGGACUGAGAGAUGGAGAGGAAUGGUUCUCAGGAGGCAUCCAAAGGUGGUGAUGAGAGGAAAGGUGAAUGGCAGCUUUGCGGGAUGGUUGGCUCAUUUCUGCUUCGGGCUGCAGAUUGACUAAGCUUGGCCCCAGGAUGUGGACUGGGUUCAGGUUUAGUCUAUUUCCUCUCAUCUUCCUGGGAACAGGAGCCACCUCGGCCUUCAGUCUGCCUCUAGAUUUUCCUGCACCAACUAUCUGUGAUUCACUUCACCUCUUUUUGAGGCUGUGAGGGCUGAUCCAAGAGCUAUGGUGGCUGAGUGUCAACAACAGAGUUGGAAGAUCUGGCAACACUGAAUCGACAGUCCGGCAUGUCAGUAACGCAGCUGAGCUGUGGCUACUUCCUUAAGAUAAAGCCUAUUGUACAUAUAGCUUGAGCGAAGGGAAUCUAUUUGAGGACUGAACAGCAACACUGGCCUCACUGCAAAAUGAGUCUAAUUGCUGUGUCAACAGCGAGAUGCCAUUGUCCUCUUCCUCCGGACUUCCAUGAAAAACUGACCCAGCUAAUGUGACCGUGCGGGGAUGACUGACAGUGCGGCAGAGGAAGACUUUCACCAUCUUCCUUUCCCAAGUGCCAGUACAUCAGAAGGACCCCUUCGGUAAAUGUAAAAACCAAGGGUGGCCUUACCUUCCUUAUAACUGGACAGGGCAUUGCUGCCAUUGACUCCAUCUCCAUUGACCUGGAUGUGCCCUUGAAGACUCCCAAAUGCCUGGAGUCUCUGACUCUCCUUGGACCAGAGGCAUAAGCAUUGUACGGAACACUCA